UGGGGAAUAUUGCACAAUGGGGGAAACCCUGAUGCAGCGACGCCGCGUGAACGAAGAAGGUAUUCGUAUCGUAAAGUUCUGUCCUAUGGGAAGAUAAUGACAGUACCAUAGAAGAAAGCUCCGGCUAAAUACGUGCCAGCAGCCGCGGUAAUACGUAUGGAGCGAGCGUUGUCCGGAAUUAUUGGGCGUAAAGGGUACGCAGGCGGUUUAAUAAGUCGAAUGUUAAAGAUCGGGGCUCAACCCCGUAAAGCAUUGGAAACUGAUAAACUUGAGUAGUGGAGAGGAAAGUGGAAUUCCUAGUGUAGUGGUGAAAUACGUAGAUAUUAGGAGGAAUACCAGUGGCGAAGGCGACUUUCUGGACACAAACUGACGCUGAGGUACGAAAGCGUGGGGAGCAAACAGG
RNAcentral lists this ribosomal RNA (403 nucleotides) under bacterium. Its description in RNAcentral is "partial 16S ribosomal RNA". It matches the Rfam family "Bacterial small subunit ribosomal RNA", at positions 355 to 776 of the family's 1533-position model. RNAcentral also lists the same sequence under 1 other name. The record is from RNAcentral.